This 30-nucleotide non-coding RNA is filed under the name Cricetulus griseus (Chinese hamster). The record is from RNAcentral. Lineage: Eukaryota; Metazoa; Chordata; Mammalia; Rodentia; Cricetidae.
CAAAUCUGUCUCUUCUUUGAACGCAGUAUG